Molecule: ribosomal RNA, 1168 nt
Filed under: Bacillus sp. (in: firmicutes)
Lineage: Bacteria; Bacillati; Bacillota; Bacilli; Caryophanales; Bacillaceae
Description: bacterial SSU rRNA
Rfam family: Bacterial small subunit ribosomal RNA
Source: RNAcentral
GAGCGACCUGCUUAGAAGCUUGCUUCUAUGACGUUAGCGGCGGACGGGUGAGUAACACGUGGGCAACCUGCCUGUAAGACUGGGAUAACUUCGGGAAACCGAAGCUAAUACCGGAUAGGAUCUUCUCCUUCAUGGGAGAUGAUUGAAAGAUGGUUUCGGCUAUCACUUACAGAUGGGCCCGCGGUGCAUUAGCUAGUUGGUGAGGUAACGGCUCACCAAGGCAACGAUGCAUAGCCGACCUGAGAGGGUGAUCGGCCACACUGGGACUGAGACACGGCCCAGACUCCUACGGGAGGCAGCAGUAGGGAAUCUUCCGCAAUGGACGAAAGUCUGACGGAGCAACGCCGCGUGAGUGAUGAAGGCUUUCGGGUCGUAAAACUCUGUUGUUAGGGAAGAACAAGUACGAGAGUAACUGCUCGUACCUUGACGGUACCUAACCAGAAAGCCACGGCUAACUACGUGCCAGCAGCCGCGGUAAUACGUAGGUGGCAAGCGUUAUCCGGAAUUAUUGGGCGUAAAGCGCGCGCAGGCGGUUUCUUAAGUCUGAUGUGAAAGCCCACGGCUCAACCGUGGAGGGUCAUUGGAAACUGGGGAACUUGAGUGCAGAAGAGAAAAGCGGAAUUCCACGUGUAGCGGUGAAAUGCGUAGAGAUGUGGAGGAACACCAGUGGCGAAGGCGGCUUUUUGGUCUGUAACUGACGCUGAGGCGCGAAAGCGUGGGGAGCAAACAGGAUUAGAUACCCUGGUAGUCCACGCCGUAAACGAUGAGUGCUAAGUGUUAGAGGGUUUCCGCCCUUUAGUGCUGCAGCUAACGCAUUAAGCACUCCGCCUGGGGAGUACGGUCGCAAGACUGAAACUCAAAGGAAUUGACGGGGCCCGCACAAGCGGUGGAGCAUGUGGUUUAAUUUCGAAGCAACGCGAAGAACCUUACCAGGUCUUGACAUCCUCUGACACUCUAGAGAUAGGAGCGUUCCCCUUCGGGGACAGAGUGACAGGUGGUGCAUGGUUGUCGUCAGGCUCGUGUCCGUGAGAUGUGGUAAGUUCCGCAACGAGCGCACCCUUGAUCUUAGUUGCCAGCAAUCAGUGGCACUCUAUGUACUGCCGUGACCAUCGGAGGAGUAGAUGACGUCAAUCAUCAUGGCCUAUUACCCUGGGGCUUAUCACAACGU